This 66-nucleotide transfer RNA is filed under the name Sepiadarium kochi. Its description in RNAcentral is "tRNA-Thr". It matches the Rfam family "tRNA". From Rfam's summary of the family: Transfer RNA (tRNA) molecules are approximately 80 nucleotides in length. Their secondary structure includes four short double-helical elements and three loops (D, anti-codon, and T loops). Lineage: Eukaryota; Metazoa; Mollusca; Cephalopoda; Sepiida; Sepiadariidae. The record is from RNAcentral.
GUUAUAGUAGUUUAAAUAUAAAACACUGGUCUUGUAAACCAAAAUUAGAUAAUUAUCUCUAUAAUU